This 1477-nucleotide ribosomal RNA is filed under the name Lactiplantibacillus plantarum. Its description in RNAcentral is "bacterial SSU rRNA". It matches the Rfam family "Bacterial small subunit ribosomal RNA". Lineage: Bacteria; Bacillati; Bacillota; Bacilli; Lactobacillales; Lactobacillaceae. The record is from RNAcentral.
AACGCUGGCGGCGUGCCUAAUACAUGCAAGUCGAACGAACUCUGGUAUUGAUUGGUGCUUGCAUCAUGAUUUACAUUUGAGUGAGUGGCGAACUGGUGAGUAACACGUGGGAAACCUGCCCAGAAGCGGGGGAUAACACCUGGAAACAGAUGCUAAUACCGCAUAACAACUUGGACCGCAUGGUCCGAGUUUGAAAGAUGGCUUCGGCUAUCACUUUUGGAUGGUCCCGCGGCGUAUUAGCUAGAUGGUGGGGUAACGGCUCACCAUGGCAAUGAUACGUAGCCGACCUGAGAGGGUAAUCGGCCACAUUGGGACUGAGACACGGCCCAAACUCCUACGGGAGGCAGCAGUAGGGAAUCUUCCACAAUGGACGAAAGUCUGAUGGAGCAACGCCGCGUGAGUGAAGAAGGGUUUCGGCUCGUAAAACUCUGUUGUUAAAGAAGAACAUAUCUGAGAGUAACUGUUCAGGUAUUGACGGUAUUUAACCAGAAAGCCACGGCUAACUACGUGCCAGCAGCCGCGGUAAUACGUAGGUGGCAAGCGUUGUCCGGAUUUAUUGGGCGUAAAGCGAGCGCAGGCGGUUUUUUAAGUCUGAUGUGAAAGCCUUCGGCUCAACCGAAGAAGUGCAUCGGAAACUGGGAAACUUGAGUGCAGAAGAGGACAGUGGAACUCCAUGUGUAGCGGUGAAAUGCGUAGAUAUAUGGAAGAACACCAGUGGCGAAGGCGGCUGUCUGGUCUGUAACUGACGCUGAGGCUCGAAAGUAUGGGUAGCAAACAGGAUUAGAUACCCUGGUAGUCCAUACCGUAAACGAUGAAUGCUAAGUGUUGGAGGGUUUCCGCCCUUCAGUGCUGCAGCUAACGCAUUAAGCAUUCCGCCUGGGGAGUACGGCCGCAAGGCUGAAACUCAAAGGAAUUGACGGGGGCCCGCACAAGCGGUGGAGCAUGUGGUUUAAUUCGAAGCUACGCGAAGAACCUUACCAGGUCUUGACAUACUAUGCAAAUCUAAGAGAUUAGACGUUCCCUUCGGGGACAUGGAUACAGGUGGUGCAUGGUUGUCGUCAGCUCGUGUCGUGAGAUGUUGGGUUAAGUCCCGCAACGAGCGCAACCCUUAUUAUCAGUUGCCAGCAUUAAGUUGGGCACUCUGGUGAGACUGCCGGUGACAAACCGGAGGAAGGUGGGGAUGACGUCAAAUCAUCAUGCCCCUUAUGACCUGGGCUACACACGUGCUACAAUGGAUGGUACAACGAGUUGCGAACUCGCGAGAGUAAGCUAAUCUCUUAAAGCCAUUCUCAGUUCGGAUUGUAGGCUGCAACUCGCCUACAUGAAGUCGGAAUCGCUAGUAAUCGCGGAUCAGCAUGCCGCGGUGAAUACGUUCCCGGGCCUUGUACACACCGCCCGUCACACCAUGAGAGUUUGUAACACCCAAAGUCGGUGGGGUAACCUUUUAGGAACCAGCCGCCUAAGGUGGGACAGAUGA